This 440-nucleotide ribosomal RNA is filed under the name uncultured bacterium. RNAcentral's name for it is "partial 16S ribosomal RNA". It matches the Rfam family "Bacterial small subunit ribosomal RNA", at positions 338 to 795 of the family's 1533-position model. The record is from RNAcentral.
CCUACGGGAGACAGCAGUAGGGAAUAUUGCUCAAUGGGGGAAACCCUGAAGCAGCAACGCCGCGUGGAGGAUGAAGGUUUUAGGAUUGUAAACCCCUUUUGUUAGAGAAGAUUAUGACGGUAUCUACCGACUACUCACCGGCUAACUCCGUGCCAGCAGCCGCGGUCAUACGGAGGGUGCAAGCGUUACUCGGAAUUACUGGGCGUAAAGGGUGCGUAGGCGGGGUAAUAAGUCAGAUGUGAAAUCCUGUAACUUAACUACAGACCUGCAUUUGAAACUGUGACUCUGGAGUGUGAGAGAGGUAGGUGGAAUUCGUGGUGUAGGGGUAAAAUCCGUAGAGAUUAAGAGGAAUACUCAUUGCGAAGGCGACCUGCUGGAACAUGACUGACGCUGAUGCACGAAAGCGUGGGGAGCAAACAGGAUUAGAUACCCUUGUAGUC